RNAcentral lists this ribosomal RNA (871 nucleotides) under uncultured crenarchaeote. Its description in RNAcentral is "bacterial SSU rRNA". It matches the Rfam family "Archaeal small subunit ribosomal RNA", at positions 32 to 909 of the family's 1478-position model. Lineage: Archaea; Thermoproteati; Thermoproteota. The record is from RNAcentral.
AUCGGAUUGAUACUAAGCCAUGCGAGUCAUUGUAGCAAUACAAGGCAGACGGCUCAGUAACGCGUAGUCAACCUACCCUAUGGACGGGAAUAACCUCGGGAAACUGAGUAUAAUGCCCGAUAGAACACUAUACCUGGAAUGGUUUGUGUUCCAAAUGAUUUAUCGCCGUAGGAUGGGACUGCGGCCUAUCAGUUUGUUGGUGAGGUAAUGGCCCACCAAGACUAUUACAGGUACGGGCUCUGAGAGGAGUGGCCCGGAGAUGGGUACUGAGACACGGACCCAGGCCCUAUGGGGCGCAGCAGGCGAGAAAACUUUGCAAUGUGCGAAAGCACGACAAGGUUAAUCCGAGUGGUUUGUGCUAAACGAACCUUUUGUCAGUCCUAGAAACACUAACGAAUAAGGGGUGGGCAAGUUCUGGUGUCAGCCGCCGCGGUAAAACCAGCACCUCAAGUGGUCAGGAUGAUUAUUGGGCCUAAAGCAUCCGUAGCCGGCUCUGUAAGUUUUCGGUUAAAUCUGUACGCUUAACGUACAGGCUGCCGGGAAUACUGCAGAGCUAGGGAGUGGGAGAGGUAGACGGUACUCGGUAGGAAGGGGUAAAAUCCUUUGAUCUAUUGAUGACCACCUGUGGCGAAGGCGGUCUACCAGAACACGUCCGACGGUGAGGGAUGAAAGCUGGGGGAGCAAACCGGAUUAGAUACCCGGGUAGUCCCAGCUGUAAACUAUGCAAACUCAGUGAUGCAUUGACUUGUGGUCAAUGCAGUGCUGCAGGGAGGCCGUUAAGUUUGCCGCCUGGGAAGUACGUACGCAAGUAUGAAACUUAAAGGAAUUGGCGGGGGAGCACCACAAGGGGUGAAGCCUGCGGUUCAAUUGG